This 99-nucleotide non-coding RNA is filed under the name Paenibacillus alvei. RNAcentral's name for it is "Purine". It matches the Rfam family "Purine riboswitch aptamer". Rfam says of the family: Riboswitches are metabolite binding domains within certain messenger RNAs that serve as precision sensors for their corresponding targets. The record is from RNAcentral. Lineage: Bacteria; Bacillati; Bacillota; Bacilli; Caryophanales; Paenibacillaceae.
CAUUUUUUUGUUUAUCCUGUUCGUAUAUCCCAGAGAUAAGGUCUAGGGGUCUCUACCAGGAGCCGUAAAUUCCUGACUACGAGUAGGUAUGCUUUGGCA